Molecule: ribosomal RNA, 486 nt
Filed under: Pseudomonas aeruginosa
Lineage: Bacteria; Pseudomonadati; Pseudomonadota; Gammaproteobacteria; Pseudomonadales; Pseudomonadaceae
Also listed under: 11 other names
Description: partial 23S ribosomal RNA
Rfam family: Bacterial large subunit ribosomal RNA
Source: RNAcentral
UGUGAACUCGAAGAGUAGGGCGGGACACGUGGUAUCCUGUCUGAAUAUGGGGGGACCAUCCUCCAAGGCUAAAUACUCCUGACUGACCGAUAGUGAACCAGUACCGUGAGGGAAAGGCGAAAAGAACCCCGGCGAGGGGAGUGAAAAAGAACCUGAAACCGUGUACGUACAAGCAGUGGGAGCACCUUCGGGUGUGACUGCGUACCUUUUGUAUAAUGGGUCAGCGACUUAUAUUCUGUAGCAAGGUUAACCGUAUAGGGGAGCCGCAGGGAAACCGAGUCUUAACUGGGCGUUAAGUUGCAGGGUAUAGACCCGAAACCCGGUGAUCUAGCCAUGGGCAGGUUGAAGGUUGGGUAACACUAACUGGAGGACCGAACCGACUAAUGUUGAAAAAUUAGCGGAUGACUUGUGGCUGGGGGUGAAAGGCCAAUCAAACCGGGAGAUAGCUGGUUCUCCCCGAAAGCUAUUUAGGUAGCGCCUCGUGAA